This 433-nucleotide ribosomal RNA is filed under the name uncultured bacterium. Its description in RNAcentral is "bacterial SSU rRNA". It matches the Rfam family "Bacterial small subunit ribosomal RNA", at positions 40 to 465 of the family's 1533-position model. The record is from RNAcentral.
CGGCGUGGAUAAGACAUGCAAGUCGAACGCGACUUAUUUUGUUAGCAAUAACGAAGUAAGUUGAGUGGCGAAAGGGUGCGUAACACGUGGGAAUUUACCAAGAAGUGGGGAAUAGCUCGACGAAAGUCGAAUUAAUACCGCAUAUGAUCGAAAGAUCAAAGUCGGGGACCGCAAGGCCUGACGCUUUUUGAGAAGCCCGCGGCCCAUCAGCUAGUUGGCGAGGUAAAAGCUCACCAAGGCUAUGACGGGUAGCUGGUCUGAGAGGACGACCAGCCACACUGGAACUGAGACACGGUCCAGACACCUACGGGUGGCAGCAGUCGAGAAUUUUUCACAAUGGACGAAAGUCUGAUGGAGCGACGCCGCGUGGAGGAUGAAGGUUUUCGGAUUGUAAAAUCGUGUCACUGCAGAACAAGGGUGCGCAUGUUAAUAG